UAUAAGUAAAAGUAUGUGAAGGCUUCUCAAAGCCCUAUAAAUAGAGGUCCUCGCCUCUACUUUGUAGGCAGACUAUGUACCCCUACCUAUAAUAGAACUUGUUGUUCUUAUCUAAGAUCUUGGAGUAGAUCUUGUGCCCUAGGAGUUCUGGAUAGAACUCUUGCUGCCCUAUCAGCCUACAUUCGCCUCUAGAGCGAUAUCUAGCGCAGCACGUUGAAGCUGUUCCUUCAACACUUGUGUUGUACACAUUGUAGCAGCAAGGUGGGGUUGCUCCUCCACAAACUUUGUGCUGCUUCAGGUGGUAUCAGAGCCUCGUUGACCCAUAAUCGUUCUUGUUGUCCUCUUCGAGAGUAAGUUGCAGCAAGCAAUGGAGCAAUUGGAGAAGAGGAUGGAUGCUGCUGAACAACAAAUCAAAGAGCUGCGUGAAGAUCUUAAUAGGAGAUUUGACCAGCUGGUUGAGAUGAUAAGAAAGGGUGUCCCCCCUGCUACCAAUGAAGGAGAUUCAUCUAAAGAAGAGGAAGAUGUUCAUCAAGGAAGAAGGAGAGGUAAUCUUGGAGCAAGACCGCCACGACAGCAUGUUGUUCAACGUGCUUCAAGAAGGCCAAUUUAUGUUGAGGCUUCUGAAGGUGAAGAAUAUGAUGAUGCCCUUGAAGAGCCAAAUCUCUACGCAUAUCGGAGAGCACCCAACCCUACAUAUGCAAGAGAUACAUACAAGGUGAAAGCUGAGAUCCCAAGUUUUAAUGGAAAUGUUGACAUUGAAGGGUGCCUGGAUUGGUUAUAUGAAGUGGAGACUUUCUUUGAGGUCAUGGAGGUUCCGGAAGAUCGUAGAGUUCCUUUGGUCGCAUACAAACUGAAAGGAGGAGCCGGUGCAUGGUGGCAUCGCGUUCAAGAGGAGCGCAGGCUGAGAGGAGAACCUCGUGUUAGAACUUGGCGACAAAUGAAAGGCCUCUUGAAAGGGAGAUUUUUGCCCGCUGAUUAUGACCAGAUCCUAUUUAUCCAAUUUCAAAAUUGUGCUCAAGGAAAUAGGACUGUUUCAGAUUACAUGGAGGAGUUUCUAAGGCUACAAGUGAGGUGCAACCUUGCUGAAACUGAAGAGCAACAAGUUGCAAGGUACGUCAAUGGUCUCAAUGAUGCUAUUCAAGAUCGAUUGAUGAUGCAACAAAUCUGGUCCGUUGAUCAAGCACAAGCUCUAGCCUUAAAGGCCGAGAGGUUUGUGAGGAUGAGAAAGACAACUAAGGCUCCAUAUCCUCCAUAUCCUCAUACCGAAGGCUCAUCUAGGAGCCAACCUAAUAGAGUGGAAGAAAAGACCACUCCACCAAAGACAAAACAGCCCAUCCCGAAGCAAACUAGAGGCAAGGGUAAGGCAAAUGAAGGUCCAAAGUGCUAUAAAUGUGGUAAAGAGGGACACAUAUCCAGCGGCUGCCCACUAAGGAAAUUUGUUAACACGACUAUCCAUGAUAGUGAAAGCGAUGAGGAAGAAUACGAAUCUGAAGCGGACAAGAGGUUUGUCAAGAAGAAGGUGAAGAGGUGGUAUGUGUGAUCCAGCGUGUCCUAUGUUCCACACCACAACUCGAUGACACACAACGGAAGAAAAUAUUUGAGAGCAAAUGCAUGGUGAAUGGCAAGGUAUGCAAACUAGUGAUUGAUAGUUGCAGCUGCGAGAAUCUUAUCUCCCAGAAGUUGGUGGACCAUUUAAAGCUUGAAACCCAUGAUCAUCCAAAUCCCUACACUAUUGGAUGGAUCAAGAAAGGAGUGAAUAUGAGGAUCACCAAACAAUGCAACCUGCCACUUUCUUUGGGUAAGCAUUAUCGCUCAAAUGUGUUGUGUGAUGUGGUUGACAUGGAUGCCAGCCAUGUUCUUCUUGGGAGGCCUUGGAAAUUUGAUGUGGAUACUACACACAAGGGCAAGGAAAAUUCUUACUCUUUCAUUUGGAACAAGAGAAGGAUCAUUAUCUUACCAAACAAACCCGAAGGUAAUACCUCUAAGGAGGAGGGGAAAACUAUGUUAACUAUCUCCCAUACCUCUCAUGAGUUUAUGGAAGACUUGAAGGAGGCAGAUUUGUGUGCUGCACUUGUUGUAAAGGGAGAAGAGCACCUGACUGUUGAAAUUCCAGCAAAGGUACGUGGUUUAUUGGCAAAAUUUCAUAACAUACUUGGGGAGCCACAUGGCUUGCCACUGAUGAGAGGAAUUCAACAUAGAAUUGACUUAAUUCCGGGAGCAAGUCUUCCUAAUCUUCCACACUAUCGAAUGAGCCCAAAGGAGCAUGGUAUAUUGAAGGAGAAAGUGGAGGAAUUGUUGCAAAAGGGGCACAUUCGAGAAAGUAUUAGCCCACAUGCUGUACCAGCCCUACUCGCGCCAAAGAAAGAUGGAUCUUGGCGCAUGUGUACGGACAGUAGAGCCGUUAACAAGAUCACCGAAGGUAUAGAUUCCCUAUUCCCCGUCUGGAUGAUAUGUUGGAUCAGCUUAGUGGAGCAAGAGUGUUCACAAAGCUAGAUUUAAGAAGUGGAUAUCAUCAAAUCCGUAUAAGACCCGGGGAUGAAUGGAAAACCGCCUUCAAGACAAAGGAAGGGUUGUUUGAAUGGCUAGUCAUGCCAUUUGGACUCUCAAAUGCACCAAGUACCUUUAUGCACUUAAUGAAUCAAGUCCUUAGACCCUUCUUAUCCCACUUUGUUGUGGUCUAUUUCGAUGACAUCUUGAUCUAUAGCAAGGAUGAGGAUGAACACUUUGAUCACAUUCGGAAGGUGCUAGAAGUACUAAGGGAAAAUGAGCUCUACGUCAACUUGAAGAAAUGUGUUUUCCUGCAAACACAACUUCUUUUCCUAGGAUUCGUCAUAACAUGUGACGGCAUUCGUGUUGAUGAUUCUAAGGUUGAAGCAAUCCGAGAAUGGCCAACUCCUAAGACCAUUUCUGAGGUAAGAAGCUUUCAUGGCCUUGCAACUUUCUAUAGGCGAUUUGUUCAGAAUUUCAGCACUAUCAUGGCACCAAUUACCAAGUGUUUGAAGAAAGGAAAGUUCCAAUGGGCAGAAGCAGCUGAAGCUAGCUUCAAUGAGAUUAAACAAAAGCUAUCACAAGCUCCUGUCUUGGUACUACCUGAUUUCAACAAGACUUUUGAGUUGGAGUGUGAUGCAAGUGGAGUAGGCAUUGGAGCUUUCCUAUCUCAAGAAAGGAAGCCCAUUGCUUUCUUUAGUGAGAAGUUAAGUGAAGCUAAACAGAAAUGGAGUACCUAUCAGCAAGAAUUAUACGCCGUUUUCAGAGCGUUGAGAACUUGGGAAGUCUAUUUGCUGCCUAAAGAGUUCAUUGUUUAUAGCGACCAUCAAUCCUUGAAGCAUUUUAGAAAUCAAAAGCAUGUUGGCCGCAUGCUAGCAAGAUGGGCAGCAUAUCUUGAGAGGUUUAACUAUCUCAUCGUGCAUAAAUCUGGAAUAACUAACAGAGUGGCCGAUGCUUUGAGUUGUCGUGCAUGCCUCUUGACUUCUUUUGAAGCUGAACUUCCGGGCAUGGAUCAAAUAAAGGAGUUGUAUGAGGGUGACGAAGACUUUGGCCAUGUUUGGGUAAAGCACGCAAGGGGCCAACCAUUAGGUGGUGACUAUUUGAUGCAAGAUGGAUAUCUCUUCAAAAAUGAUCGUUUGUGCAUUCCAAGAAGUUCUCUACGUGACAAGCUGGUUAGAGAGCUCCAUUCAAGUGAUCUUAGUGGCCAUGUUGGACGGGACAAGACUAUCGCUAACCUGGAAGCUCGCUACUUUUGGCCACAACUAAAGAGAGAUGCUGGAAAGUUCGUUCAACGGUGCCCCGUAUGUCAGACCUGCAAAGGCCAAAUCCAGAACACAGGGUUAUACAUGCCUUUGCCUGUUCCUGUUGCUCCAUGGGAGGACAUUUCUAUGGACUUCGUCUUGGGCUUGCCAAGAACAAGACGAGGAAGUGAUGCUGUAUUUGUGGUCGUGGAUAGAUUCUCUAAGAUGGCUCAUUUCAUCCCAUGCUGCAAGACAACGGAUGCUCAUCAUGUGGCAAACCUAUUCUUUCGAGAAGUGGUCAGACUUCAUGGAGUUUCGAGGUCCAUUGUCUCAGACCGUGAUAGCAAGUUUCUUGCUGCAUUUUGGCUCACUUUGUGGAAGCAAGUCAACACUGAAUUGAAAUUUUCUAGCACUGCUCAUCAACAAACAGAUGGACAAACGGAAGUGGUGAACAAGUUUUUGGGUAAUCUGAUCCGUUGCAUUUGUGGAGAAAGAAAGGGGCAAUGGGAUUUGGCUUUAUCUCUUACAGAGUUCUCCUACAAUAACUCCAAGCAUAGAUCCACAGGAAAGAGCCCUUUUUUCAUUGUCUACACUAAAGUUCCAACACAUGUGGUGGACCUGGUGAAGCUGCCAUCAAGGGGAAACUCAAAAUCAGCAUUGUCCUUUGUUGAUAAUUACACCGAGUUAUUUGAAGAGAUUCGCGGCGCUUUGGAAGCACAAAAUCAGAAAUAUAAACAACUUGCUGAUUGCAAAAGGAGGCCAAAAUCAUUUCAAGUCGGUGAUAAGGUGAUGGUCUACCUUCGAAAAGAGAGGCUGCCUUUAGGUGUUAAAGGGAAACUUAGGCAGCGAAGGUAUGGGCCCUUCUCUAUCGUGAGGAAGAUAAAUGAUAAUGCUUAUAUGAUAGAUCUUCCAAGUGACAUGGGUAUCUCCAACACUUUCAAUGUGGCGGACUUGACUCUCUACCAUCCAGAAGAAGCGCUCUAUGAAGAUAACUCGAGGGCGAGUUCCAAACAACCAGGGAAGAAUGAUGAGGAACAUGAAAAUAUAAUCAUAUGUCAAAUCUGUUUGGCUACUUCUAGAUACUUCUGUUGUGGUCUAGUAUUUGUUUUCUUUUCUUUAUCCUACCUACUGUUUUCUAGAGUCUUCUAGUUGUGAGUACCUAUGAGUAGAAUGGUGAACCUUAAAUAAUGUUUCUAGAGUAUUCCAGCUAUAAGUAGAAGUAUGUGAAGGCUUCCCAAAGCCCUAUAAAUAGAGGUUCUCACCUCUACUUUGUAGGCAGACUAUGUACCCCUACCUAUAAUAGAACUUGUUGUUCUUAUCUAAGAUCUUGGAGUAGAUCUUGUGCCCUAGGAGUUCUGGAUAGAACUCUUGCUGCCCUAUCAGCCUACAUUCGCCUCUAGAGCGAUAUCUAGCGCAGCACGUUGAAGCUGUUCCUUCAACACUUGUGUUGUACACAUUGUAGCAGCAAGGUGAAGUUGCUCCUCCACAACCUUUGUGCUGCUUCAAGAAGUGUCGUUGGUUUUAGUUCAAAUUUAUGACAAUUACUUUGGAACGAGGGAGUAUGUGAUUUUAUUAGGAAUUAAGCUGUCAAUUUUACUUUCACCCUUUCAGCUUCAGAAUAUACUACCAACCAAACAGAUGAACAAAACAUUAUGGUCAACAGAAGAGAGGAAAUGCAUACAUCCACAAACUUUUUCCUCUUUCUCUUGUACACUACCUUUCAUCAAAGGCGUAGUACUUUUUGUGAUGGUCUGGAUCACACAAUCUACGUACAAAAUAAAUCUUCAACAAUCAACUAAUGCUUCAUCAGGAUACCAAGCGGAAAUUAGAGCGCAACAGAAUACCCAGAUGAACAAAAGAAAUACUUGUCAACAAAACCAGGAAGCUACACAGGGUUGGUUUUCAUCUGGAAUUCACAACUUGCCUAUUGCGUUAUCAUCUACUAUUGGGUACUUGUUAUCUGCAACGAUCCGUCCUUCUGCAGCUUCAAGCUGAGGCUAGUGAACCGUUCUCUCGAAUAUUGUCUCGAGGCUUUCCUCCAGUCGGUUCCGGCCUUCAUCAUUGCCACAAACUCAUCAAAGCUUAUCUUGCCAUCCUACAAUUCAUGAAUCACAAUGUUCAUCAUUUCAGUCAGAGUCAAAUGAUAGCAAUCAAAAGGAUGAGAAACAAAACUAGUAUGCUUUGCCAACCAGUUGGUGAGUUACCUUAUCAGUGUCUACAUCACGGAUGAUGGCAUUGAUAACCUCUUCAUGAUUUGGUCCCAGAUCAUCAGCUAAUGACUCCCGGAGUUCAUCAAUUUCAAUAUAUCCACUCUUGUUCCGAUCAAAGUAUCCAAAUGCCUUAUGCAGAUGUUCGUCAUUGCCGAUCUUUUUCAGGUGAACAGACAGAGUAACAAAUUCUCCAUAGUCUAAGCACCCAUUUCCAUCAGCGUCAGCCUGGCAUAACAUUCACAUAUGGUAAAUAUAUGAUAAAAAUACCCCUCGCCUUCAACACGUAGUAAUAUGUAGAAAGUGCACCCAUCUAAUGUUAAAUGAUCAUUUCAAGUUCAGGAAAGAAAAACUUAAAAGAACAUUUGCUAUACUGCCUUACAAGCUCCUCACUUAGAGGGGUGUUUCUACAAUCUCUAUCACUAGUAUGCUAACAAUUCCAUUUCAGCCAGUUUACCAGGUAUGAUCUUUGAAUUCUGAUAUGAUACUUAUGAAACUCAGUUGAUAAAAGUGUGGCGAUGGUGAUUCUACAUAGAAACAAAACAUUCCAGUGUAAUAACAAAGAGUUGCAAAAGUUUCUCAGAAUAAAGAAAAAUAAUGAGUACUCACAGCAUCCAUUAGUAUUUGGACAUCUGCAUCAGGCAUUUGGUGGCCAAGUUUAUUCAGACCAAGCUUCAGUUCAUCAAAAUUAAUCAUACUGUCUUUGUUCAGGUCCAUCUUUUCAAACAUAUCCUUUAUGCCGGCCACCUCUUCUACCGAAAGAUGCUCAGCUAUGACCUGUAAUAAAUACAAAUAUGUAAGCAAAUUCCUAGAAAGCAAGUCUAACGUGAAAGAGGAUUGGUUCAAGUCAGACUGAGGUAUACCCUAAGUGCAUGCUUCUUGAACUUGUUCAUCACAGAGAACUGUUGAAGUCUGGCCUUAACUGUCUCACCCAAAUUGACAUUUGGAGCCUUCUUAAUAUUCUGCAACCAGGGAUGAUCUGGAAGAAAAUACAAAUUAUGGACGUGAGACACAAGCAAUGCAAUUAAAUUAUCUUGGGGCGGAAAUCAUCUGAAAUUUACACAAGGUAUGUAAUUCUGUAUCCGUUUAAGAAGAACAGAGGAAUGCAAUACAGUACAGUUAACUUGUGGAAAUCUGAUUAUUACCAAGCACUUGCUGAGCUGUCAAACGCCUCCUUGGAUCUGGGUUAAGCAUUCCCCUGACAAGGUCUUUUGCAUUAUCUGAGACCCUAGGCCAUGGAUCUCUUUUAAAGUCAAUGACAGACCGGAUAAUUGCUUGAGCAACACCUUGCUCAGUUUCUGCAUUAUAAAAUGGAAGCAACAAACAUAUUACUUAGAAAGAGCAUUCAAUAGGACAAGAUAAAUAUAUUUUUCUCAACCACAGUCCACAGGCCAGUCACCCCAGAGGCAAAAUAAGGAAAACAAAACUUCAGUGUAGAAGGUGACACAUGGCCCCUUUGUGCAGACAGGACAUAAGAACACACUCCACUUUUAGUAUCCUAAAUGUUUAAUGUAGUUGACUGAUGCCACCAAAACAAUUGACCAUUUUCAGGUACAAAACUGACCUGCCCAGAAUGGAGGGACACCACAAAGAAGGAUGUAAAGAAUCACUCCUGCACUCCAAACAUCAACCUCUUGGCCAUAGUUUCUCUUUAACACCUCUGGAGCCAUGUAAUAAGGACUUCCAACAAUCUCAGUGAACCGUUCACCUACACAUCACGAACAGUUAGCACAUUAGGCAAACAAUACAAGGCAAAAAUAGACAGCAUAAGACAGGCUACUAUAUCAGCUCUGUCCUCUGACAAUAUCAUCGACAAAUAUAGAUUGUACCUGGAGUGAAAAAAACAGACAGGCCAAAAUCAAUUGCUUUCAGCGCCGCGGUUUCUUUCUUGUUUGCAAACAAGAAAUUCUCUGGUUUGAGGUCCCGGUGCAUCACUCCAUGCUUAUGGCACAUCUGAUAUUGUGAACAAAUGUACACACGUUAUUCACUAAACAGACAAAAAAGGGAAGUUGCAGCAAUCUAACUACUACUGCCAAGCUAAAGAUGUGGUCCUUGAUAAGCUAAUAGCCCGAAUGACAACAGCAAAUGCAGAAAUUGAUUGCUUCACAGGAUCGAUCGUAACCUAUUCAAUGAAACAUAUAGACACCAGAAUCAUGUGACAGGUAGCCAACAAAUAUUUCCACGGUGGAUCACAUCACAGAAUGAACGCAUCCCGUGAGUGUGAGGACAAGCUUAGCCAAAAGGCAAAGGAAGGAAUCAAGGGGGUAUUUAUUCUCA
Molecule: long non-coding RNA, 8212 nt
Filed under: Triticum aestivum (bread wheat)
Lineage: Eukaryota; Viridiplantae; Streptophyta; Magnoliopsida; Poales; Poaceae
Description: long non-coding RNA (TAES_LNC023895)
Source: RNAcentral